CUGCCCUCCAUAGAGGAUCUGCACUUCCUGCCGACGUAAUAUCCCGAUAGAUGCAUAGACGGACACGCGCACCCCACGCGUCUCCCACCCGUCAGACGAGUAUUUCAUAGAAGUCACUGCCGCUGUUGCCCUACUCGUCCUCCUGCGUGCUGCCCGUGUGGCAGAGUGUGGUCCACGACGAGCGUCAUUUUUUUAUUAUUUGCUCUUGUGUAAGUGGCACCACAGCGCCAGACUGUACGAGACUAUUCGACGCGGGCGCCUCAGAUGGACAUUGACUUGCGCGACCGUGGAAUCGCUCGUCUCUGCUUCGAUGCCCAGGGGGCGAACAAGGAGGAGGCAACGGUCGCCAGCGCCGUCGCUGUUUUGCUGGCUGACCAUAACCGCAUUGACUGUAUCAGUGGACUCAAUGCCGUCUUCGUGAACCUCGUCGAACUGCGGCUUUCCCACAAUCAACUGGGCCGACUCAGUACCCCAUACCACCGUCUUCGGCAGACCUGUCUGCGCGAUCAUGCUGUCGCUUCACGCUGCUGCGACGGCGUGGCAUCGUGGAUUCGCUGCCUUCCUACCACGCUGCAGGUGAUCGAUGUCGCCUUUAACAACCUGCACAGCUUUCUCGAGUGCAGCUGCGAGUGCGCAGCCGCUCCGGAGCGGCACGCUGCUGCGGAUGUGCUGGAGGUAAAGCCCUCAGUCUCCGAUGCGACCGUGUCUCUCGCUCGGCUGCUGCGCCACCGCGUGCCCUUCGCGCUGCCUCUCUUCUUUUCUGCUCAGCGGUUUCCGCAGCUGCGGGAGCUCAAGCUGUCGCACAACGCCUUUGAUGUAAGCCUCCGCGAGAGCGAUGAGAUGCAGGACGGGCACAAUGCUCUUCAGGCGGCAUUGCUCGAGCACUCCAUCACCGCGACAGCCCCGACGACACUCUCCUCCGUCGACCUUUCCUACAACGGAGGUCUGGCCUCCCUGAACUGCUUCUUUCUCUCGAUUCCACCAUGCACCGGGGCGAGUGCGAAGGCGGCGGCGGCGGCAGCUGCAGCAUCGCAGUCGACUGAUACGCCGUCAUGCUCGGUGAGCUUGGCUGGCACUGGGAUCGAGGACCUUCAGGGCAUUUCAUCCGUAAACGGGCACGGCGCUGCUGUGCAGUGGGACCUGCAGCUCCACCCGUCGCCGGUUUCUCUCAUCAUCCUUCGCGCCGCACCGUCUGCGUUGCUACAGCUCACCCACGCUAUCGUGAACAUGCGCGUUGAUGGCGAGCAAAACGCGCUGGCCGCUGCGCUGACCGAGGUGACGCAUGAGGGUGGAACUGCGACGUCUGCCAUCGCGGGCUUGCAGUCGGUGGCGCAACUCGACGACCUGGAGCAGAUCGCUGCCGCUGCCAUCUUGAGAGAGGAGCCAGACAUGAGCAACGCCCUACCCGACGGCGCGACGUGGAUCUCGACCCUGGCGUACGCCUGCCUUCUGCGCCAAGUUGUUCCCUCCCUUCGCACCUUGGACCGGGUUUUCCGCGUGGAGCGAUGCGAGCAACUCCUGCUAUCGUCUUUGUGCCGCCUGCUGCUGGGAGACCCACGACCACAGCGAGCCUCCUCCUCUUGCCUGUUGCCAAUGAGAGCGCCCCCACCGCUCCACCCAAGCGCGCCGGCGGCGUUGACGGUGCCGGUUCAGCGUGGGCUAGGCGGCGCCGCACACUGUGUCGCACCGGAGCUGCAAUCGCGUAUCGUGGUCGGCACGGAGGCGUCGGAAGCGGCCGAACCCCCGGUAGGUGUCGGCGUCGCUGAUGCCUCUGCUGCAGCUGCUGCCGUGGUGCGACCAGGCCAAUUCCAAGCGGCGCUGGCCGCCCUCCGCCCGAGUUGCUCCUGCUCGGUAGCGGCGCCGGCGGCCACCACACACACCUCGUCUUGCCAUUCGACGAUGAGCGCCUCUUCUGUAUCUGCAGAAGAGGGCACGGCUGUUUCUGGCAGCAGCGACGCUGUCCCGUUUAUGUCGGGAGAAGAUUGGUAUGCGCCGUCUGGCCUGACGCCGGGGGAGGGGGCGCUGUACGAGUCUCUAUGCCAGGAAGCCAAAGAGCUGCAGGAGGCGGUGCUGGCAAGCAACGAGCGGUGCCGCGACAUCCAGGCGCACACUGAAGCACUGCAGCAGCAGCUCAGGCAAGACCGCACGCUUGUGGCAGACCAGUGGAAGGAGAUCGGCCGGUUGCGGCAGGAAAAGGAACACCUCGAGGCGAGUGUGGGGCGGGCGAAGCAUCGGCUGGAUAAGCGGCAGAAGGAAGUGACCUACGGCGUCACGGCUAUGCAGUCUCGCGAGGUGGCGGCGCGCGAGAAGGCGGCCAUGGAGCGGAUCGCGGCUCGGGAGAAGGAGCUGGAGCGCCGUGAGCGUCAGCUGCGUCAGCGUGCAGCUCGGUCUGGUACCCUCGCUGUCGAGUACCAAAGCAGCGGCCCGUCUGGGCAGCGGAAGAAGCUACGCAGCGAGGUGCUGCGUGAGGCUGCAGUUCGCAAACGAAUGGCUGAGCAGGAGAACAAGGACCCACUUGCCUACUCACCGGCGCCCUUCAAGGCGGAGAUGCAUCGCUGCAGCCCUCGCCGCUCGCCCGAUGAGCGUCCGUCAACGCACACUGCUGCCGAGGAGGAGCACGAUUACUUUGAACUGUAUGGGGACGGGGGCACCCCUGAACUUCGCGAGGUGGCAGACCAGUAUUUGGCACACCUCCCCCUGGCACAGCAGCAGCAGCUUCGCCAAGCGUCCUUGCGGCUGCCUUACAGCGGCAGCUUUGACGAAUCGCGUGGCCGCAGCCUCCAGGCAUCGCCAUCGCAGCGGCGUGGCUCCCCGACAAGCGGCGACGGUGGCGACCCUGUCGUGGGCUACGCUGCGGAGACAGACGCGAAGAACCGCGCGCCGUCUCCGGAGGCGGCUCGGGAUUUGAGCUCUCUUUCACUGUCGGAGCUGCUGGAUGCCGCGGCCGCAAUUCGGCAGAAGCAGGUGGCGCUUCAGCGGCUGCAGCACCAGUGGCAGCGGUCGCUACCGCCUCCUAUGCUGUCUCCUGGUGGGGAGGAGGCGACGCACGCUAUGGACACCGUUGUGCAGACGGCUUUCGAGAAGGCUCCCAGCCUCCACAGUCGGGCCAGUCGCGGCGGCGCCGAUGACGGCGAUGCGAGCGCAGUGCAGACACCUUUGCCAGCUGCACGCCUGGAUAUGCGUGAGAGCAGUAGACACUCACCAUUUUCAUCGCCCGCGCACGAAUCGGAGGGGUCUGUGCCGAACAGCGCGCAGCAGCUCUUUGAUCGCAUGCUGGAGCAGAGAGCUUCUGCAGCGACCCACCUGAUGGCGGUAAACACAAGUGCAAAGGCCGUUGCUGGCGACCGCACGACUCAUGUAGUUGAUUGUCUCUCCGCCAAGCAAGGAGACCGGCGCUCUCCGACCGAUGCGUGCGGAGAGGAGCGCGAUGACACCACUGGUGAGCUGACCAGUGACGCUCUCACAGGCAAGGCAGAAGACGCCGCUGGACAGCGACUACAGACUAAUCGCGCGCUGUUUCGGUAAUGAAGUGGUAGACGCGCACACACAAGGCAGAGAGACCGAGAAGUGCACCCGUGCGCCCAUGACAGCGACGCGGCCUUCUUUUACUCUUUUGCGCCUUUUGCGUAGGCCGGCAUAGAGAAUAGAAAGGAGGGGCGUGCGUGCGCCCGUGUUUUUUUUUUUGACGCGCGCUGCGUAUGUGCGACUGUGCGUUGAUGUGCUUUUCCCAACGGUCUCGGCCCGGGCACCAGGGACACCUCACACCCUUCCCCUUUCCGUGACGGAUGACCUCUGCGCAGCCGCACUCCUGUCAAGAACGGACUGCAUCUGCAGACACACACACA
This 3845-nucleotide unclassified non-coding RNA is filed under the name Leishmania donovani. RNAcentral's name for it is "gene:LdHU3.32.0330(CDS-product:hypothetical_prote in_conserved)". The record is from RNAcentral. Lineage: Eukaryota; Euglenozoa; Kinetoplastea; Trypanosomatida; Trypanosomatidae.